Molecule: ribosomal RNA, 468 nt
Filed under: Triticum aestivum (bread wheat)
Lineage: Eukaryota; Viridiplantae; Streptophyta; Magnoliopsida; Poales; Poaceae
Description: partial small subunit ribosomal RNA
Source: RNAcentral
AUGAUUCCUUCCACUGUGAGAUUCAUUGAACUGCUCCAAAUCUUCAGCCAACUCUGUUUUUGUUCUUCACAACACAAACAAAACAGGUGGCAGUCUUCCACGGCCAUGGGGAACGACGGCGACGGGUGGAGGCGAUUUGGGAGUAGCGGGAGCGGGAGGAAGGCAGGGUGCAGCGGCGGGGUGGGAUGUAGUGGUGCUCAUGGUGGAGUGAGGCGACGACCUCAGCGUUCGUUGACGCGGCGCCGGAGCCCGUCAAGGAUCCAGGGGAGGGGAUGGUGCAGGGAUGCGUGGAGCCGGGAAAGGGAGCGCUCGCGUCGCCAAGGCGGAGGACGUCGCCGAGAUCCGGUCAGAUUCGACCAGAAGUUCAGGGCGCGGCUCUCCGGGGGCCCGGGGCUCGGCGCACAAAAGGAGCUAGGUGGCAAGGGGCAGCGACGAGCGGGAGGAUCGAGUAGAGCUCAUCGGAGGUAG